This 495-nucleotide ribosomal RNA is filed under the name uncultured bacterium. RNAcentral's name for it is "partial 16S ribosomal RNA". It matches the Rfam family "Bacterial small subunit ribosomal RNA", at positions 28 to 507 of the family's 1533-position model. The record is from RNAcentral.
GAUGAACGCUGGCGGCGUGCCUAAUACAUGCAAGUAGAACGCUGAAGGCGGAGCUUGCUCUUCUGGGUGAGUUGCGAACGGGAGUGUAACGCGUAGGUAACCUGCCUGAUAGCGGGGGAAGACUAUGGGAAACGAUCGCUAAUACCGCAUGACAACAGUUCUUGCAUGAUAACUGUUUAAAAGUGGCAACUGCUUCACUACAAGAUGGACCUGCGUUGUAUUAGCUUGGUGGAGAGGUAACGGCGGACAAAGGCGACGAUACAUAGCCGACGUGCGAGGGUGGUCAGCCAGACUGGGACUGUGACACGGCACAGACGCCUACGGGAGGCAGCAGUAGGGAAUCUGCGGCAAUGGGCGGAAGUCUGACCGAGCAACGCCGCGGGAGGGAAGAAGGUUUUCGGAUCGUAAAGCUCGGUUGUAAGAGAAGAACGAGUGUGAGAGUGGAAAGUACACACUGUGACGGUAUCUUACCAGAAAGGGACGGCUAACUACGUG